GAACCCGGCUGGGACCUGGCAGGAGGUGGCCACGCGCUGAGCACGCUCCGACUGUCUGGACCCUGGGUACCUGGCUGAAGACUUUGGACUUUAACCUGGAGAUGAUGGAGAGUAUGCAGGAUAAAGUCCAUACCAAAUCCAACGCCUAGCAAAUGGAGAACAAGCCAAAACUAACAAGAUAAAAUGUAGCAGGAAAAAGUGCAAAGAUUGAUUGUGUCAUUUCAGAGCUGAAGUGUGGAAUAAGUGGGAGAGGUCUGCCAUGCCCUAUCUGACCUUGCUGCCAUGAUCUUUAAGGCUGUGUGUCCUGGUUGGUGCAGCUACAAGAUGGCAGAAAUGCCUAAGUGAUGGUAUGGAACAGAGGAUCCCUCUUCUCACCAUUGUCUUGCAUGUUUCCUUGUGUGAACCACAAAUAAACUUUUGUUAUGUUAAGCUG
Molecule: long non-coding RNA, 433 nt
Filed under: Homo sapiens (human)
Lineage: Eukaryota; Metazoa; Chordata; Mammalia; Primates; Hominidae
Description: HSALNT0297945
Source: RNAcentral